RNAcentral lists this ribosomal RNA (253 nucleotides) under uncultured bacterium. Its description in RNAcentral is "partial 16S ribosomal RNA". It matches the Rfam family "Bacterial small subunit ribosomal RNA", at positions 524 to 776 of the family's 1533-position model. The record is from RNAcentral.
UACAGAGGUCUCAAGCGUUGUUCGGAUUCAUUGGGCGUAAAGGGUGCGUAGGCGGCGGAAUAAGUCGGGUGUGAAAUCCCGGAGCUCAACUCCGGAACUGCACUCGAUACUGUUUCGCUAGAGUACUGGAGAGGAGACUGGAAUUCACGGUGUAGCAGUGAAAUGCGUAGAUAUCGUGAGGAAGGCCAGUGGCGAAGGCGAGUCUCUGGACAGUUACUGACGCUGAGGCACGAAGGCCAGGGGAGCAAACGGG